CGCGCCUCUUGCAGCACACCGCCCGCUGCUACAAAAUUCCAUCUCGAGAGAGAAAUCGGAUCACUUUGAAAUGGCGGUCGCUUUCCAUGAUGUCAAGUCUGCAGCCGGUUUGAAAAAACUCGAUGAAUACUUGCUUAGUCGUAGCUACAUUUCCGGGUAUCAGCCUUCAAAGGAUGAUGUUACCGUUUAUGAAGCGAUCUCCAAACCCGUUUCCAGUGAAUAUGUUAACGUGUCUAGGUGGAGUAAUCACAUUGAAGCACUCUUGAGAGUUUCCGCUGUUUUUGGAGAGGGUUCUGGUGUUAAGUUUGAUGCAGUUGCAACCCCACCAGCUGCAGAUGCAAAGGCUGCUGAUGACGAUGAUGACGACGACAUGGACCUAUUUGGUGAAGAGACCGAAGAGGAAAAGAAGGCUGCUGAAGAGCGUGCAGCUGCCAUUAAGGCUUCUGCAAAGAAGAAAGAG
Molecule: unclassified non-coding RNA, 460 nt
Filed under: Hevea brasiliensis (rubber tree)
Lineage: Eukaryota; Viridiplantae; Streptophyta; Magnoliopsida; Malpighiales; Euphorbiaceae
Source: RNAcentral